AGCACCCGUCUCCACAGAGGACGAUUUGAGUUCCCAUAGAGAAGUCAUCAACACAGGGCACAAGAAUGAUUACUAGAGGAGCGUGCAGGGCUUCUUACACAGGACCUCAACAAGUGUGAAUCUCUUUGGAAUUUCUUUCCAGUUUGAGGAAACCGAAGAGCACCUGCUGAAUUCUGUUACGUUCUUGACAGGCUGCUCAUUGCUGUGGAGAAGCAUUGCGACCCUAUCCAACUGUGACUGCCUGAGAAUGAAGAUCAUAAAGGGAAAUCGAACCAGACCUAGGGGCACAGUUUUACUCCCAGGAGGCAGAGGCAGAAGAAGAAGCAGGUGGAUGUUUCUGAUUUCCAAACUGGCCUGGUAUACAAAGUAAGU
Long non-coding RNA from Mus musculus (house mouse), 372 nucleotides. RefSeq annotates it as predicted gene 43093. The record is from RefSeq and is a predicted model, not a curated record. The transcript is spliced from 4 exons. NCBI's taxonomy places the organism in Eukaryota, Metazoa, Chordata, Mammalia, Rodentia, Muridae.